Pungitius pungitius (ninespine stickleback) is the source of this 2694-nucleotide RNA transcript. RefSeq lists it as uncharacterized. The record is from RefSeq and is a predicted model, not a curated record. Lineage: Eukaryota; Metazoa; Chordata; Actinopteri; Perciformes; Gasterosteidae. The transcript has 3 exons.
AUUAUAACUGGGAACUGUGGUUGGAAUGGAAGAUGAAUAUGAUCGGGAAACUGUUGACGGCGGCUGGGGGCCAGCGCCGGGGUAUCGAUGGAAAAUAAUAAACGACCAGCUGAGGCUGUUGUUGGUGGCGGUGGGUGGAGAGACCACCGGGAAAAAGAAGCAUGAGGCUGUGGAGCGCACGGAACGCGCGGUGAGAAAGUUGUUAGAAAAGAAAGGCGUUAGUUUGGCAGACAGGCUGUCACUGGCGCAGAUUUUGUGGGAGAAGGAGAGAGAUUGUAGAGAAGAAAAGAAGGAGCUUGAGUCGAAACGCGAGAAGGCGAGUGUGUUGAAAAAAGGAAAACUUCGUAAAGAGAUGGAGGAUGUGGAGGACAUGAGGUCCGCAUUGUUUUCGUACUGGAUAAAAAGUAAAGCCGUGGGGAGAAAUAACCAGGAACGGUGUAAUGAGGAAAGACCACCGGCAUACGAUGUUGAAAUAAACGGUGUGAAUUCGGCUUCUGCACCUGCUGGGUUGUAUCCUGUAUUAAAUAUAACGGGGGGAGAGUUGGAAGUUGAAGAAAGUGUACCACUGCGGGGUUGUCGGGGCAACGAGGUAACGGGGGAAAGCCGGCCUUUCGAAGCGCGUCAAAAUCGGGGGGGGUUUAAAGAAUGGACGGACUCACGCACUCCGGGGAGAAGGGACAGCUCAGAAGUGCAGCGGAGAAAUAAGGCGGAUAAGGGAAAGUAUUUAGCCGGGGCGAAUGAGCGGGUGAAAACACAAUUGAGAUACGGGGAAUCACCAGACAUGGGGGAGAGAGGAAAAAAAGGCUCUGCCUCGGCUCAGGAGGAGCAAAACGGGGAAUGCGGGGAUAACAGCGACCCAGAGAUUCACGGGGAACCGGGAAAAAUGUAUCCGUUAUUCAUGUCUUCUCGAGGUGUUAAUAAAUACAAGCCGUGGUCGCUGGGAGACGUGUCUGCUCUAGUCGCGCAAAUGCCUGCACCAUCUGAAGGGGGAGAUAAGUGGCUAAAACAACUCGAUACGCUUACUAACGGACACACGCUGGCGCUCGGCGACUUUAGGGCUGUAGCAGCCAGAUGCAUGACCGCACAUGAUUUAGCGGACGUGGAAAACAGAGCGGGGGUGACCCGACAAGCCGAUGACGACAGAUUUUUGUAUUUCGCGACGGAGAUCGGGGACGCAAUGCGCGAGAAAUGGCCACUUCUAAUGUCGACUAAAAUACCAAAAUUACCAUGGGACGCGAAGAAAACCCCGCGCGCGUAUUUGGACGAAUGUAAAGAGACCUGGGUAAAAAGCACUAGCCAUCAUCCGGGAACGGAGGGCAUACAGAGAGAAUGGUUCAGACAGGCGGUGCUGGAGGGAGUACCAGAGGGGGUAAAAGCUAAAAUGAUCACUAAUCCAGACUUGCCAGGAAGUGAAUCUGCUGUGUGGGAAAGACAUUUACUGCACCAUUUACAGGACGCGACUGAGGAAGCGACAGGGGAAGAGAAGCAGCUAAAAGAAUUACAGGCUCAGCUUCUUAGGCUUCAGCUCACUAAGGUCAAACAGGAAGUGAGCGACAAGAAGCAGAAAGGGAAAGACGAGCGACAGAUGACAGUCCAGGCUGCCCCAGCUGAAGGUAACGCCCCAGAUUUGUAUCCACUCCCACCAUGGGAGGAGACGUCGUAUGGGACAGCCCAGGGGUGGGGCCCAAACCGAGGGGGCGGUUAUCGGGGAGGUUACAGAAGUAAUUACAGGGGUGGCGCUGGUCGGAGAGGAUCAUACGGUGGGGGAGGAGAAAGAGGCGGCUACCAAGGGAGAGACGCUUGUUUCAACUGUGGUAUGGAGGGGCACUGGCGCAUGGAGUGUCCUAGCAAAAAGAAGAGACAGGGGAGGGGCAGGGGUGUCCCGUCUCCGGGGGCUUGGGCCCCCAAUCCACAUGCUGCGCCACCUAGGGGACAAUACCCUGCACUGGAGGACUGGGGCCAUGAGGCGGAUGCCUCUCAGUGACACACCCCGAUGGGAGACUCCGACAGCAGGGGCAGGGCAGACCCCAUGCUGUCACUCACGGUACUGCAACAACAACUUCCGUUUCUCGUUGACACUGGGGCCACAUACUCCACCAUACAAGCAGCGGGCUCGUCUGCUAUGUCCAAAGACAGUGUCAGCGUUAUGGGAUUCUCCGGGGUGUCACAGAAACUGCCUAUAACAGUCCCCCUACCGGUGAAAGUGGGAAAUCAGACAUUGACUCACUCUUUUGUUGUCUCACCUCAAGUUCCAGUGAAUCUUAUGGGAAGGGAUCUUCUCAUCAAAACAGGGGCUUCAAUCUUGUGCGGCCCGGACGGACUGAGUGUCACAUUGCUGGAUGGAACUGUGUUGCAUUGCAAUGACAAUGGACAGACUAAUGGCCAGUGGGUGAUGCAGCCACUGCAACAACAACAGUGCGCAGACAUCUACUGGGGCCUCCUAAAGCCUGAGUGUCCUGACAUCCCAGGGGUGAUGGCUCUUUACCAAAAGUGGAAGCCUUGGAUAACUCUUCUUGAUCCGUGUCCAGAGACCACGGAAGGGAGAAGACCGACCAUCCCCACACAGCUAUCCUUCUUGAGAAACUUCCAGACUACCUCUGGUCCGAAGGCCCGACUGACAUUUUGCAGUCCAGGUGCGAGACAGAACCGGAGGGCAGAACACCCCUGAUCCCCACACAACAGCCUGGGUCCUCC